This is a long non-coding RNA of Bos taurus (domestic cattle), 372 nucleotides long. NCBI's taxonomy places the organism in Eukaryota, Metazoa, Chordata, Mammalia, Artiodactyla, Bovidae. The record is from Ensembl.
GCAGGAUUGUGUAACUGCUACAGCAUUCUGGAAUGAAGGCAAGAACCUCAGAGACUUGCCAAACUUGGUUCUGCUCGGAAGAAAUUUUCCCCUGAGGGCUUAGAGAAGUCUCCCUCUCUCUGAAACAGCUUCUUCAAAGGUGGGCAAAAAGACACCAACACCCAUCCUAUAUCAGCCAACAUCCCAGUGACUGGUCCAUCGACACCAAGGACUUCAAAUUAUACCGAGUUCUGUGUAAAAUUAACACAACUCACAUCUUUCCCAGCAUCAUGGUCUUUUCCAGUGAGUCAGCUCUUUGCAUCGGGUGGACAAAGUAUUGGCACUUCAGCUUCAGUAUCAGUCCUUCCAAUGAAUAUUCAGGGUUGAUUUCCU